Molecule: long non-coding RNA, 3821 nt
Filed under: Salvia miltiorrhiza (redroot sage)
Lineage: Eukaryota; Viridiplantae; Streptophyta; Magnoliopsida; Lamiales; Lamiaceae
Description: long non-coding RNA (SMIL_LNC004634)
Source: RNAcentral
UGGGAGCUCCCAUGGAUCAAACUUGUAGAGAUCGACUUCGGCGAUGAUGGCGACGGGCAAAGGGGCGGAGGCCACCUUCUUCUUCAGGUAGUGCACCACCAGCUCCUCGUCGGUGGGGUGGAACCGGAACCCCGGCGGCAGCUGCGGCUGCUGCGAGCCGGUAGAUGAAUCGGUGCUCUCCAUCGAUAUGAUCUUAUAUUUGAUCGAUUAUCACCAAUUUGGAGUAGAUUAAUCUUAAUUCCCAGUGAUUAUUCAAGAGUUUGAUGAGAGAGGGGAGAGAGGACUAGCAGGGAGCAUGGCAAUGGUACAACACAAUAAAGCAAGAACAAAAACAAAAUAAUAAAAAGUAGAAAUACCAUGAGCUACAAAUAUGUUAUGGGUUUUGUAGUUGGCUACAGCCUCUGCUUUUUCUUAUAAACCGUAUAUACGCUCAAAUAUGCUACGCUGUGGCGCGGUGCUGCGUUGCGCGCUCCCUGACGUUAUGCGAUCCUCCAGUGAUAUCGCGCCACGUCACGGGGGGCGUAAUUUACCUGGGUGGUUGAGAGGGAGGGGAUUAGGGCUUAAUGGUGACGCCAUUAGGAAUUGAGAACUGAAAAUUAGGCGAUUAAUAGACCGACACGCACGUGAUGUGGAGGCGAAUGAGAGCGGGACACGUGGAGGUGUGGGGGCCCGCAUGGCGACCCACAGGCAAACAGAAAUAUUGUGAUAAGACGAAGGAUAAGUGUGAGGGGGGAAGUGGGUGGUGAAAUCCUCGAAUUGACGACGUACUAUAUCUCCACACAGGACACGACUCGACCAUUUUUUUCAUUAUCUUUUUUUUCGUUAAAUCAACCUUACUAAUUUUAAUAUCAACUUGUUUAAACUAAAUCAAUUCUUCUAAUAAAUCUCAGCUUUCAAAUCUUAUGUUUUCGAUUGAGUUCCACCAUUAAAAUAAAGAUAAUUAUUAUAUAAUGGACCUUAAUUAAUACUAGUAUUAUUUACCAAACUCUUAAAUUGGUUUAAAGAAAUACAUUUUCUGAUUAUGAAUUGAUGAGCCCUUAUAACAAUCAUUAAUUAAAAAUUAUAAAUUCAAUGUAAACAAAUCCUAAUUAGAUUAAUAAUAAAAAUAUUAAAAUAGAAAGAAUUCCUAAAACAUCUACGUACUUAGAUUUUACUUUAGUGGCGUUAAGGAGGUACUCACGAGUUGGCAUUAAACUUAUUGUUUGUUAAUACUUCAUUUAAUUAUUUUUGUAAUAGUGUGCGGGGAAGAGUUCAAUGAAGAACACUAAAUAUUCAAAGAACAAAGAACAAAUCUCAACCAUUGAUCUUAUUGAAUCUAACGGUCAACAUUUAUUUACGCCAUGUUCAACGGAUUUUUAUGUUGAACAUGUAGGGAGGUCGAAUCUCAGAACCCCAAAAAUUCAAAUGACUAAUAUUUUCAAUAUAAUUUGAUGAACAUGGGCGUGUUCGUGUUCUUCGUUGAACGCAANUGAAAUCGAACAUUAAUUAAUGACAUUCUAGCUAAUUAUUUGGAUUCAUAUUUUGAAACCUUUUUCUAAGCAGUGCUACUGCUAUACAAGUGGCAAUAGGUAGCUCUUUUCUUGCAAUUCCAUCACCAGAAAAUUUCUAAAGUACGAUACUAAGUUGGUGUAAGAAAACAAAUUGAGCCAUUAUAAUGGGAUAUAAUUGAUAAAAUUAAUAAUUUAUUUGUUAACAGAAAAUUACACAAUGCUUUAUAAGAAAAUAAACAGAGAACAAGAUAUGCAAGAAAUGUUAACUUGCAUAAAUUCAUGUUAAUAUUGAUCAAAAUAUCAUGAUGAUAUGAAUCUUAUGUUUAGGGUUUUCUGGGUGUGAAAGAAUCCCAUGAUCAAUCACAAAAAUGAAAUACACCUCAAGGAAGGAUGUUAAAUCAAUCAAUAUUGAUCAUAAAAAGAAAAACAUAAAUAUAUAUACGAUGAUACAGACAUAUAUAUACAAAACUAUAUUGUAAAAUUUGUAGGAAGAAAAUUACUAAUAUUGUAUUCUAAGGACAAUAUGAUUACUAAAAUGGAUUUAUUCAACUUCUCCACAACAAGAUCAGUACAAGAUUCCUAUAAUUAGUUUUUACACCUACUAAAUGACCAAAAAUAUAUGAUAAUAAACGAAAUAAAUAUAUAUAUUACAGCUAAUAACAUACUGUCUCAUCUCAUCUAUGCUAAAAUUACUAUAUAGAAUCCCCCUUUUCCCCAUAAACACGAGCUUGUAAAAAUAUAUUAAUUUGUGUAUAUUUUCCCCCUAUCUACAAACAAAAUCUGAUCCAACAAUAGUAAUUCUACGACUAAUUGAAUAAAAUCUUCAGCUCCUCCAACACAAGCAGCAUCAUGAUCUGUUUCCCCAGCUUGUUGCAUAAUUUAUAUUUAAAAAUGGAUUCAUCAAACUUACAGAUUAAUUCUAACAAUAUACACACAUAUAUAGAUAGAUAUAUGGUAUUUAAUCAUGUGUACCAAUUGACUUGAUGAUAGGGUUGCUGUCCGAAAACCCCGUCGCCGAGGUUUCCGAGCAUUGCCUGCUGCUGCUGCAGCGUGGGCGUCUGCGGGAGCUGGCUGAGGAUGGUGGCGAUGGAGUUGGUGGCGUCGUCGCUGGCGCCGCCUCUGGUGCCGCCGUCGCAGUUGUCUCCCAAGAAUCUCUUGGUGGAGGGGCGAGGGUGCCGGGGCCGGGGCCGGGGCUGGCGUCGUCGUUCCAGUAGAGGCUGGGGUUGAUGGUCCGCUUGAGGGUGUGGGGAGGGAGGAGGUGGAGCGCCGCCUUUGAGGAGGCCAAAUGGGGAUUCAUGGCGUCGCUCAUCAUCCCGUCGUAGAGGCUGUGGUCGCUUUCCAGAUAUUUGUGGUGGCCCACAGAAGGCAUGGAUAGAGUCUGAGGAUUAAUUGAUCCCAUCAGCUGAUCGUGUAUGUCGUCGCGCUCCUGAUCCAACGGCCGCUGCGCGUUGUUCUUCUUGUAUAUCCGACAUAGAACCCAGUCGUCCAGCUGCGCCAUCAUCACCAUUAAUCAUCAUCAAAUAUAUAUAUAGAGAGAGACAGUCACAGUCACAGUCACAGACAGAAAGUUACCCUUAGAGAUCCCUUUUUGUUGACGAAAUCACAACCGGGAGGCUUGGAGCUAGGCUUGUUGUCUACGAGCCUGUACUCAUGCAUGAUCCAGUUGGUCUUGAUCCCUUUGGGUGGCUUUCCUCCGUAGAAAACCAGGGCUUUCUUCACCCCGACCUUCUGCGUCCCGCCGCCCGUCAUCACCGGCUUGUCGGUCCCCGUCGCCUUCCAGUACCCGGACGUCGCCGCCCGGUUCGGCCGCGCCCCGUUCGGGUACUUGCGGUCACGAGGGCUGAAGAAGUACCAUUCCUGCUCUCCAAAUAUAGCCUUGCCUGGAGUUUCUUAUCUUAUUAUUAUGAGUUUAUCAAUUCUUUUUUUUUUUUUGAGGAAAAUGAGUUUAUCAAUUUGAAUAACACAAAAUUAAUAUUAUGUGAUUUACCUGGGAGCUCCCAUGGAUCAAACUUGUAGAGAUCGACUUCGGCGAUGAUGGCGACGGGCAAAGGGGCGGAGGCCACCUUCUUCUUCAGGUAGUGCACCACCAGCUCCUCGUCGGUGGGGUGGAACCGGAACCCCGGCGGCAGCUGCGGCUGCUGCGAGCCGGUAGAUGAAUCGGUGCUCUCCAUCGAUAUGAUCUUAUAUUUGAUCGAUUAUCACUAUCACUCCCAAUUUGGAGUAGAUUAAUCUUAAUUCCCAGUGAUUAUUCAAGAGUUUGAUGAGAGAGGGGAGAGAGGACUAGCAGGAGCAUGGCAAUGGUACAACACAAUAAAGCAAGACAAAAACAAA